GGUGGCAACCCUAAGGACCAAAGAGAGACUUCCUCCAUAAUUAUAAAAGGCAUUUGAAUUGAGUUUAAACUCAGAUUAUCAAAUGCUCUCAGCCCUUAAGAACACCAUCAUCUUCAACCUUUGAAUUUUCAUGUAAAAUCUUUGAUUCAUCAUAACUUCUUCAAUUCUCAACGGAAUUGAGCGAUUCUCGCGGCCACGGAACGAGGAAGGGAUCCUCUACUAGAUUAUGGAUUCAAUUUGAGGUGAUGGUGAGCUUAUAUGAAACACUUUGAUGGUGAUUUUGGAUGCUUAAACCUUCCGCAAAGUCAUCAACCAAGACUCGACGAGGCGACUACCAAUGGAACCCGGAACUUACAGAACGCGACAUCGCUUAGCUAUUAUCAAAGAUUAUGGAUAGCAAGCUGUGAGUAUAUUUUACUCACUCUCAUUAUCGUACUAAAAACUA
Mercurialis annua (annual mercury) is the source of this 445-nucleotide long non-coding RNA. RefSeq lists it as uncharacterized. NCBI's taxonomy places the organism in Eukaryota, Viridiplantae, Streptophyta, Magnoliopsida, Malpighiales, Euphorbiaceae. The record is from RefSeq and is a predicted model, not a curated record. The transcript is spliced from 3 exons.